AUGAGGAGCCCCGCCAGCCGGCCGCGAGGCCCCAUUGGCUGAGGCAACGUUCUAAAUUCCACGAGGGCACGCCCACCUCCGCGCGCGGUACGCGCUGUUGUAGUUUCCACUUCACCGAAAAAAAUCUGCCUGGCGACUGAGCAUGCCCAGUUCAACUAGUAGCCUCCAGGCCACACAAUCCUGAAGUUUCAUUGUUUCGCUGCUCUCUCUUUGAGAUUGUAAGAAUAAGAACAGUGUGUGUCUUCAUAGGAAGGAAAAAGAGUAAGAAUGAAUACGUAAACUUUAUAAUGUAAAUAUAUACACAGCAGGUACCUUAUUCAUUUCCUACCCAUAAAGGCUUUUAAUGAAUGUUACAUGGUGGGAAUCUGUAAAGCGUGGGAAGGUACUCUGUACUGGAAGAGCGUGGCAACUUCUAAAGGCCUCAGUUUCCCCCCCUAGAUAUAUAGUGACAACAGUCCCUAAAAUCACUUAGCUCUAAUUUUCUGAAAUCUGUGAUUAUAAAUCACUCACUAAUUCAGCUAACUUCAAACUAGAUGUGAAGACGAAUAGGACAUGUUUGUUACGGAAAUUAGGAAAAGAAAGAACAAGGCAAAAACUGAUUAUUUUAUAUUUGAGACAUAUAUUUGAAUGACACCCGUCAUGUUACACUUUAUGCGUAAUAUUUCUCAAAGUUCUGCAAGGCAUAAAAUGAGCAUUGCAAAAAUAUUUCUGAAUUCAUUUUAUGAGACCAGAUUUACUCUGAUACCAAAACCAGUGAAAGACUUCAAAAGAGAGUUACAGACCAAUAUCACUCAUAAACAUAGACACAAAAGUCGUGAACAAAAUUUUAGUAAAUGAAACUCAACAACAUUUAAAGGGACAAUACAUCAUGACCUGUGGGGCUUAUCUUGGGAAUGCAAAGCUGCUUUUUUAAUAUCUGAGAAUCAAUCAAUGUAAUUGGCAGGAUUAAUAGAAUAAAGGGGGAAAAACAAUCCUUUCAGCAGAUGCAGGAAAAGCGCUAGUGAAUGGGUAAGCAAAUUGUGAUGAGCACAUGCAGUGGAAUACUAUUCAGCAAUAAAAAACAAUAAAAAAUUUUCCUACAUGGAUGAAUAUCAAAAACAAAGUGCUGUACGAAAGAAGUCAAAUACAAAAGACCACACUGAAUGAUUGCAUUCAUAUGAAAUUAUAGAAAAAGCAAAAUUGGGCAAAGUUAGUUUCAGAAUCAUCUUAGCAGGCAAAGCUCACAUCAUAGGAAAAUGUGUUGAAGCCUUACAUUACAAAUAUGGCCAAAUCCACUUUGGUAACACAGAGGCUGCAAAUAUGUAUUAAAAAUAUCAUGUAUUAAAUAUGUAUUAAAAAAGCAAUGAAGUUUAAUAUUUCACUUUUUCUUUAGUAAUUUUCAGAAUACAUUAAUUGAUCUAGUACUCUCCAGAGGUGGUUGAUUACUUUCUUUUUUGGAACAUCUUUAUGAACUCAUGGAUUUUUACAUAUUUGGUGUGCAUCAGUGUAUUGCUAUCAUUAUUAUUACCUUUUUAAUGCUCCUAUUACCACAUCUUUAGCCAAUGCAUACCCUUUCAAAUUAGUGCUUGUGUCCUUUUGACAUGAUCUUAAUCAUUUUUGAUAGAUUCCCUGUUCUUGGGCAUUCAGUGAAUGACAAUAGUAUACUGAAACGAAUUAAGAUAAAAACCAAUUGCUUAGAGCUAGAUAAAAAUUUACAAGUUAAUAAUUUUAUCAUUAAAAUAAUAUUUAUAAUGAAGAUGUCUUUCAAGAUAUUAAUUUGCCAAAUACUUGAUAGUUAAAUAAAGAAAAAGUCAGUGAAAACAUUUUUAGUAAGAUAUGUGUGAGAAGGAUACUGAGUAGCACUUGCAAUCUGGA
Molecule: long non-coding RNA, 1854 nt
Filed under: Homo sapiens (human)
Lineage: Eukaryota; Metazoa; Chordata; Mammalia; Primates; Hominidae
Description: non-protein coding lnc-IRAK1BP1-9:2
Source: RNAcentral